AAGUCGUAACAAGGUAGCCGUAUCGGAAGGUGCGGCUGGAUCACCUCCUUUCUAAGGAGAAAGGCUUUUACUAUACUGUUUAAUUUUGAGGGACUUUUGUUUCUCAAUAAGCAGACAACCAAAAUCUUAGAUUUUGUGUUAGUCGCUUAGUUAAAAAUUCUGUAAUUCACGACAAUAGUUUUAAACCAACAAAAAAUGAAUGGAAGAAUUUUUAACAUCUAUAGUCUUUUAGAUUGUUCUUUGAAAACUAAACAAUGAUAUGAGAAAAGAAAAGCUGAAGUAAUUCACUAAAGGUCAAGUUAUUAAGGGCAAAGGGUGGAUGCCUUGGCACUAGGAGCCGAAGAAGGACGUGGUAAGCUGCGAAAAGCCACGGGGAGCUGCAAGCAAGUAUUGAUCCGUGGAUGUCCGAAUGGGGAAACCCA
RNAcentral lists this unclassified non-coding RNA (422 nucleotides) under Andreesenella formicacetica. RNAcentral's name for it is "Clostridium formicaceticum partial contains 16S ribosomal RNA, 16S-23S ribosomal RNA intergenic spacer, and 23S ribosomal RNA". The stretch from base 293 to 422 matches the Rfam family "Bacterial large subunit ribosomal RNA", at positions 1 to 130 of the family's 2925-position model. Lineage: Bacteria; Bacillati; Bacillota; Clostridia; Peptostreptococcales; Natronincolaceae. The record is from RNAcentral.